RNAcentral lists this long non-coding RNA (751 nucleotides) under Medicago truncatula (barrel medic). Its description in RNAcentral is "long non-coding RNA (MTRU_LNC001845)". Lineage: Eukaryota; Viridiplantae; Streptophyta; Magnoliopsida; Fabales; Fabaceae. The record is from RNAcentral.
UAAACUUCAACAAUGUAGUACACUUUAAUUUUAAAAUAGUUGUUCAACUUCAAAAGAUUGAAAUUUCGGCAACAUUAACUACAACAACCAGAAAACAAAAUCAUUAGUUGACUACAUACAUGAAUUGUCUCCAACAAUUGAUGGUUCAUAAUAUUGGUAGUUAAUGGCUUGUUCCUUCUUGUGAAAAAAUCAUAUUUUCUUGUAUGAUGACUUCAUGCUUAUCUUCAUCAUCAUCGUUGUCACUGUCAUAUUCUACAAACAAAAGAUUAGUAGUGAGUGUAUCAUAACUUGUAAUAUAAAUAAUUAUUUAAUUGUUAGUAGUUAUUCUUGAAUUAAAAACUAUACCAUCAAAAUCAUGUAACCAACCGUGUGCACACAUAAGAGCUUGAACUAAUGAACUGUAACAUCUUUCAAAGAGCUUAUAUAUUUUUUCAAAACUCGAGCACCAAUUCAGAGACCACAAUUGUUAUUGAAAUGCUUAGUACAUCAGAAGCCAUAUUUGCAGAUAAGGUAGAGACAUAAUCAAAAGGUGAGAUUGAUUAUAGAAGAUGACUCAACGAGGAACUGGAGAUGAUGAAACCCCUACGUGAACAGUAGAGUUAGGGUGGAGGUGUUAGGCAACACAAUAGAGUUAGGGUGGACAGUGGAGGAUAAGUGAUAUGUGGCAGCAGCAGAUCCAGGGUUCGCCCAUGGUUUCCUACUUUCCUUUGUGAACUUUCAUUUCUGAAAGUGAUACUGAAUAUUAUGUGAA